CCUACGGGAGGCAGCAGUGGGGAAUAUUGCACAAUGGGGGAAACCCUGAUGCAGCGACGCCGCGUGAGUGAAGAAGUAUUUCGGUAUGUAAAGCUCUAUCAGCAGGGAAGAAGAAAGACGGUACCUGACUAAGAAGCCCCGGCUAACUACGUGCCAGCAGCCGCGGUAAUACGUAGGGGGCAAGCGUUAGCCGGAUUUACUGGGUGUAAAGGGAGCGUAGACGGCUGUGCAAGUCUGAAGUGAAAGCCCAGGGCUCAACCCUGGGACUGCUUUGGAAACUGUGGAGCUAGAGGGCUGGAGAGGUAAGUGGAAUUCCUAGUGUAGCGGUGAAAUGCGUAGAUAUUAGGAGGAACAACAGUGGCGAAGGCGGCUUACUGGACAGUAACUGACGUUGAGGCUCGAAAGCGUGGGGAGCAAACAGGAUUAGAUACCCUUGUAGGUC
Molecule: ribosomal RNA, 442 nt
Filed under: uncultured bacterium
Lineage: Bacteria
Description: partial 16S ribosomal RNA
Rfam family: Bacterial small subunit ribosomal RNA
Source: RNAcentral